UAUAGGAUAUAUAAAGCAGAUAUACCCUUGUCUCUCAGCUAUGGAUGGAAGAGUUUAAAUAGAAGAAUUUUGGGAUUGGAUCAAUGUAAGGGACUAAUCAUGCAUGCUCUACUAGACUAACAUCGUGGCUUUCGACCAUCAUUUCUAAAUCAAAAUAGGUUGGUUCCAAAUAUGGCCAAAUCUUAUAUGGAAACUCAAGUUUGAUUGACUAUUUGGGCUAGCAAGUUUGGGUGAAGGUUGAGAGUGUUGGGUAGGCU
RNAcentral lists this long non-coding RNA (257 nucleotides) under Elaeis guineensis (African oil palm). RNAcentral's name for it is "long non-coding RNA (EGUI_LNC046681)". Lineage: Eukaryota; Viridiplantae; Streptophyta; Magnoliopsida; Arecales; Arecaceae. The record is from RNAcentral.